AUUGGAAGAAACAAACAUCACGUGCACACAUAAUGGCACACGUAAGUCACGA
RNAcentral lists this small RNA (52 nucleotides) under Plasmodium falciparum 3D7. RNAcentral's name for it is "Pfa-starR7043". The record is from RNAcentral. Lineage: Eukaryota; Apicomplexa; Aconoidasida; Haemosporida; Plasmodiidae.